This is a long non-coding RNA of Gymnodraco acuticeps, 491 nucleotides long. RefSeq lists it as uncharacterized. The transcript is spliced from 2 exons. The record is from RefSeq and is a predicted model, not a curated record. NCBI's taxonomy places the organism in Eukaryota, Metazoa, Chordata, Actinopteri, Perciformes, Bathydraconidae.
AACCUAUUUAAUUUACUUCAUCCAGACUUCUUUCGUCAAGACCUUCAGCUUGGCAGAGAGCUUCAGCCUCACGUCUUUCAGGAAGACUCGGCUCAGGUCCUCUCCGGCCUCCCGGGCCAUGCGGCCCACCAUCUGGCCCCCGGCCCCGAUCACCAUCCGCUGUGGAGAGAAGAAGCACAGCCGUGUCAGGGAGCGGAACAUAUUGUGUAUCUGUCAGUAAUGCAGGUUUGAAAGACACAAAUAAAAAGGACCCUGUGGAAAAUAGUUUAAUGAUAUCUGAAGAUUUACCAAAAAAAGGACAUUAGGUUCAAACAAAUACAGCUGUUCUUUUUUAUGCAGUUUCUAUAAAAUAGCCAUAAUCCGUUUCACCCUGAAGCAUUCUAAAAGGCUGCAGUGACCUCCAACAUAUAUAUUUAAUAUUCAUUUAAAGAAAUCUUGACAAGAUAGCCUUUUCUCAGGAGAUAUUCAUCAAAUAAAUGAUAUUUCGAUCC